AUACGGAGGAUCCAAGCGUUAUCCGGAUUUAUUGGGUUUAAAGGGUGCGCAGGCGGCCUUAUAAGUCAGUGGUGAAAUCUCCCGGCUCAACCGGGAAACUGCCAUUGAUACUGUAAGGCUAGAAUACAGACGAGGUAGGCGGAAUGUAGCAUGUAGCGGUGAAAUGCUUAGAUAUGCUACAGAACACCGAUCGCGAAGGCAGCUUACCAGACUGUAGUUGACGCUAAGGCACGAAAGCGUGGGGAGCGAACAGGAUUAGAAACCCCAGUAGUCC
This 274-nucleotide ribosomal RNA is filed under the name uncultured bacterium. RNAcentral's name for it is "partial 16S ribosomal RNA". It matches the Rfam family "Bacterial small subunit ribosomal RNA", at positions 523 to 796 of the family's 1533-position model. The record is from RNAcentral.